UAUUGGAUCUUCUUGUUGAGGCA
Molecule: non-coding RNA, 23 nt
Filed under: Cricetulus griseus (Chinese hamster)
Lineage: Eukaryota; Metazoa; Chordata; Mammalia; Rodentia; Cricetidae
Source: RNAcentral